This 30-nucleotide non-coding RNA is filed under the name Mus musculus (house mouse). Lineage: Eukaryota; Metazoa; Chordata; Mammalia; Rodentia; Muridae. The record is from RNAcentral.
UCNCUCAGGUAACUCUGCUAUGAAUCUGGU